CAUCCGCCACGGGAAUACGGAGGGAGCUAGCGUUGUUCGGAAUUACUGGGCGUAAAGCGCGCGUAGGCGGUUACUCAAGUCAGAGGUGAAAGCCCGGGGCUCAACCCCGGAACUGCCUUUGAAACUAGGUGACUAGAAUCUUGGAGAGGUCAGUGGAAUUCCGAGUGUAGAGGUGAAAUUCGUAGAUAUUCGGAAGAACACCAGUGGCGAAGGCGACUGACUGGACAAGUAUUGACGCUGAGGUGCGAAAGCGUGGGGAGCAAACAGGAUUAGAUACCCCUGUAGUCCCUGUCUCUUAUAC
Molecule: ribosomal RNA, 301 nt
Filed under: uncultured bacterium
Lineage: Bacteria
Description: partial 16S ribosomal RNA
Rfam family: Bacterial small subunit ribosomal RNA
Source: RNAcentral